Podarcis lilfordi (Lilford's wall lizard) is the source of this 76-nucleotide non-coding RNA. Lineage: Eukaryota; Metazoa; Chordata; Lepidosauria; Squamata; Lacertidae. The record is from the annotation of a GenBank genome assembly.
AGGGCUGCAGCUCAGUGGUAGAACAUCUGCAUUGUAUGCAGAAGGUGCCAGGUGGAGUCUCAACCUGGCAGCUCCA